Molecule: non-coding RNA, 6942 nt
Organism: Sus scrofa (pig)
Lineage: Eukaryota; Metazoa; Chordata; Mammalia; Artiodactyla; Suidae
Source: RefSeq, a predicted model, not a curated record
AUGGGAAAACGUUAUGUUCAUGAAUCAGAAAACGUUGUUAAUAUGGCAACACUCCCUGAGUUGAUCUACAAAAUCAAUGCAAUUCUCAACAGAAUCCCAGCUGACUACCUUGUAGAAAUUGACAAUGAUUCUAAAAAUCACAUGAAAUUGCAUGGGACCCUGAAUAGCCAAAACACCUGGGAAUGGGGCCUGGAGCCCUAUGUGGAUUAAACCUUCAUCUCCAGAGUGUUUACCAUCAUGGAGGAGACCGUAAUGAGCAUCAAAAUGAUCCAAAAAAGCCUCACUGAGAUCCCAGCUGGCUACUGCUUUGUCAAAUGAACAGAUUUGGCCACAGCUAAGAAGUGUUUGCAUAAAAUUAAUGGGAAACCUCUCCCACAAGCCACACCUGCAAAACACCUUAAAUUGAACUAUACCACUUAUGAGAAAUUAUCAGAUAAUACUGUGUACUCUUUUGUUUGGUGGGUGGGCUGACCCACAAUAUGGAGGAUGGCAUGCUGUAAGAAUUGUCAACACCUACCCCUCCUGUCCAGGAGGCAAGAUGUUUUGGCCAGACAGGUAUGUCUAAGGAAGGGCUAUUGUUUUGUGAAAUUCAUGGAUGAACUGGAAGAGAAGGGAACCCUGAGAGAGUGCCAGGGAGUAGUGGACCUGGGCUUUAAACUGGUGCUGCUGAACAUGGCAAUCCCUAAAGUGAGACAUGCAAAGUCAGUGGAAUAUGGUCAGACGAGCAGUUGCAGCUACAACCAGUAUUAUCAGCAGUACCAGAAGCACUAUGCCUAACAGGGCGAGGACCAGAACACAAGGCAGCCACAGUCACAGUUACCCCCCACUUCGGCUCUACCCAGAGCAUCAUGCAGACAUAGGAAUAAGUUUGAGAGGAUGCACUAGAUGAACCCAUGCCAAGCUGGAUAUGACAGGGCAGGGCAAGGGCUGUAUGAUGCACUGAUGGACUGGCAGCCCCUGGCAGUGUCUUCAGAGAUCCUCACCAUGAGGUAGCCAGGACAAAGGAGAAGACAGACUCCUUUAAAUAUGAGCAUACAUACAUGAUUGAUAUUUAAAUACACACACACACACACACACAUUUGAGGGAUAAGAACAUUUACUUUUUUGGAAAUAUGAUUUAUGAGAUUUUAGUAAUCAAUGAUUUAUGACUAUUUCUCCAACACUGCUGCCUUGCUUUGAUAGUGAAUCAUUUGAGUUUGAAAAUCAAAUAACUAACUUUAAAGAGGGUUGAAGAAAGUUCAAAUUUGCAUUUCUUUGAACAAGAAUCAUUUACCCAUGUAGGGUUCUCCGUAUUAGAAAUAAGAAGAGUUUAGGAUUAUUAACCAAAGUGGGUCAUAGGAUUCAGUUACUAAACUCUGGGUUUAGAGGUCCUUCUCAGAUGACAGGCAUACAAAUCAUUAAGAUUCUCUGGAAUCAGCAUGCAUGGAUUACCUGCUGUGUGUUAAACAGUGGGCAAUUUUAUCUAUGGUAUUUCAGGUAUCCUCACCCAAUCCCCCUGACAACACAUUUGCUCCAAGGGUAGUAGCUAGGUAGAACAGUUCAUUAGGCACUCCAGCUAAGAUGGGCCAAUGUAUGGCGGGAACUGAUGGAGCCAGCUCAACCUAGAUUACAAGACUCAAGACUUAGCGUUUACUCUAGGACCGGGUCUAGAUUUACAAAGCCUCGAUUUUUUUUUAGGAACAAGACUGUUGAUGGGCUGUCAGGCCCUCCAACCCUGCUCUUGUGUUUCUUGACUUUAUCUAAAUUUAUUAAAUAGAUAUGACUCUAAAAUAGAGAACCCAGGAAACUAGGACUUUAUGAUUUGGGAAAUUUUCAACAUAUCCAGAUUGCAAAAGAUGGUAAAAUUAAGAGAUUUGCUGUCAAGAGUUUGCUCUAGAGAGAGCACAGAGACUGUACAAACUUUUGUUAAUAUCUCGGAAAUUUUUCCUUUGAAGAGAUUAAGUGUGUGAUUCAUAGAUUCCCCUCAGAGAACUCAUCAGAAGCCAAAAGUAGAGACGAGGUUAUUUAGGAAAGCUCUGUGAAGUAGCCUUUGUUCUAAUGGAAUGAAUAUCCUUGACAAACACAGGAGAUGCGCAAGGUUCCUGCGAGUUAUAUAUCAGCAGAAACACUGUCGGCUUGGUCUAAAGGUCAUACAAAAUGAAAAAUGAUAUUGAAUCUACUAGUAGAAACAAGCUGAUAACAAUUCUCACGUGCUGUAUUUCAUGAAAAAGGAUGACUCAGAAGGUAAAGUCAUGAACGACAGAGAAUUAAUCUCAGACUUUGAAACCAAAUGUAGUUUGUUCAGAUGGAUUUUGGAAUUGCUUGGGACCAGUGACUUCUUUUCCUUCUAUAUUUUCCCUUUUUUUGAACCAGAAUGUCUACAAUUGUAAUCAAAUGCUUGUCUUACUCUGGUUUGUUGCAAGCAGAUACCUUCUUUCUUUAGUUUCCCUUUUUUUUUUUUUUUUUUUGUCUUUUUUGUCUUUUUGCCAUUUCUUGGGCCGCUCCAGCGGCAUAUGGAGGUUCCCAGGCUAGGGGUCCAAUCGGAGCCGUAGCCACCAGCCUACACCAGGGCCACAGCAACGCAGGAUCUGAGCCGCGUCUGCGAACUACACCACAGCUCACGGCAACGCCGGAUCGUUAACCCACCGAGCAAGGUCAGGGACAGAACCCGCAACCUCAUGGUUCCUAGUCAGAUUCGUUAACCACUGCGCCACGACAGGAACUCCUUUUCUUUAGUUUCAUAGGGCCACAUAUAGAGAGGAAUUGUAUCCCAAAAUGGAUCAUACCCAAACCUUGCCCAUAUUUUAGAUGAAGAGAUUUGUGACAUUCAAGCUGCUGAGAUUAAGAAGUCAUUUUGGGAGUUCCCGUUGUGGCUCAAUGGGUUAGGAAUCUGACUAGUAUCCAUGGGGAUGUGGAUGCACAGAGGCAGCUGGGAUCUGGCAUCACUGUGGCUGUGGCAUAGGCCAGCAGCUGCGGCUCUGAUUCAACACCUAGCCUGGGAACUUCCAUAUGCCAUGGGUGCUGCCAUAAGAAGAAAAAAAAAGUCACGUUGGACUUUGUGUUGAUGCUGUAAUAGUUUGACUUUGGGAAUGGGACGAAUGUAUUUUGCAUGUGAGACAAAUGUGAAUCUUUGAGGGCCAGACAUGGACUGUGGUAGACAUAAUAAUGCCCUCCAAAAGAUGUCCAUGAUCUAAUCCCUGGAUUCUGUGAAUAUGCCACUCUUCAUGGUGAAAAGACUCUGCAGUAAUUUAAACCUAAUUCCUUGUCUAAGGCAUGAGGUAGUUGGGCUCAUCCAGUGACCAAGCCUGUGUGGGUCUUGGGGUGGAUGUGAAGUAGAUAAUGUUAUAAACAAGACUUGGAGACUCAGAGGCGAGAAGAGGGAACUAUUUCUGUAUGUGUGAACCAGAUUCUCAGCUCUGUCAUUAAAUCACUCCUAUACUGCUGCUGUUUUAUGGUCCCCUUGAGAGGAUAAGGCUGUUUAGUGGGAAUAUGGUAAAAUUAGUUUCUUCUAUAUCAUCCCCACUGUUACUUAAGAAUCACUGAAUUCCUGUAGAAGACCCUUCAGAUUCCAUUUGUGCUAGUAAUUUAGUACUACAUGAUGCUGAAGUGCUUGGCUCUAGUUUAGUAGUAAAGGCUCAAGUCAGAAAGUCAAAAUUAGUAUUACUAAAGGGUAGGAAAUGUGCUUAUUCUUUAACUCUUCCCUUUCAUCUCCUCAGAUACACUAAAAAUUCAAAAUCAUUCACUUGUCUGCCAAUUACAUGAUAUUUCUGAAUUUUAAAGGCAUUUGUGUCACUUAUCUCAAAAAUAACUUUAACUUCACUGUUCAAAGAUGAGAAAUUUUACAAGCCACCACAACAUUCUUGAUUCCUAUGGUAAACUUACCAUGUACCUUACCCAUGAUCAAGAAUAAUUUCUAUUACUCAAGUAGAAAGCAUAAUUCCCCAAAUUAAAUACUACUACAUUUAUACAUCACCUAGUGCUUGUUGUGAACAACUCUGUAACAACCAAUUAAUAUUGUGAAUACAAGAUUGACUAAAAAAUAAUCCCUAAAGUUUCCAUUUCUGACAAAUGGUGUCAAAGAACAUGGAGAUUUAAUUACUUGGAAACAAAUUACGUUACUUUAAUAACAUGAAGAUAAAUUAUGGUAUAAAGUUCAAAUUCAAAAUCUAAGUGCUCCUUUUAUUGAAACACCAAUUGAUAUCUUUGUUAUGCUUCAGGAAAUGAGGCCAAGAAGGAACCUGAGUGUAAAAGGAAAUGUAAUUAUAUAACUCUCUAGGCAAUUCGCAACAGUUUAGAAAAUAAGUAAAAAUACUACAAUUGACCCUUGAAUACAGGGGCUAGGGGUUAUGAUCCCCCAUGCAGUUGAAAAUCUGAGUAUAAUUGACAGUUAGCCUUCUGGAUCUGUGUGUGGUUCCUCUACACUCAGAGUUCCACAUUUGGGGAUUCAACUAACCAAGGAUAGGGAAAAUCCCUUACAUCAAAGCAUGAAAAAAAAUCAAUGUAUAGGUGGAGCCAUGCAGGUCAAACCCUGUUACUCAAGAGUCAGCCGUAAUUGGAAAAGCAUUGGUGAUGCUCCAAUUGAUAUUCAGGCAUUCCAACCUAUUCACUAGCUGAUGACAAAUCUAUUUUAUAAACUGACUAGUAAUUCAGGCAGUUUUACACAUCAGAAAGCAUACUGGACAAGGUGCUUGAAUAUAUGAACUUUUGUCCUAAUCUUGCCAGUAACUGAUUUGAACCCUCUGGGCAUGCUUAACAAAAGGGGGUGAGGUAAGCCCUUUCCAACACAUGGUUUUUACCAGUUUGACCAUGACCUGGACAGACGUGUUAUUUGUGAUUGUUCUGUUUGGGACUUGUGAUUCCAGAAUUGCAGGUUGCUAAUUUUUUUUCUCUUUUUUGGCCGCACCAUGGCACAUGGAGUUCCCAGUCUGGAUCAGAUCUGAGCUACCAGGUGUGGCAACAAUGGAUCCUUAACCCACUAUGCAGAGCCUGAGAUCGAACCUGCAUUCUAGCGCUCCCAACAGGCCGCUGAUCCCACUGCACCACAGCGGGAAAUCCACAGGUUGCUAUUUUAGAUGAAAUUUGGGAACUUUUUGAUUUGAAAUAUUUUCUCGCUCCUCAAUUCCUUUAACACCUAGAUGGUCCCAUAGAUAGCUGAGUCUUUUUGGCAUUGUUUUCUUAGUCCUUUGUGUGUGUGUGUGCAAGCUUGGAUGAAUCUUGUCAUCUCUAAGUACAUGAUCCUUUGUUUUAUUCUAUCCACUCUACUGUAACCUUCCUCCAAUGAAUCUCUGAUUUCAGAUAUUGAAAUUUAGUCUGAAGAUUUCCGUCUGGGUUUUUCUCCUGAAAUGCCCAUCUUUUCAUUCAUAAUUUUCACUAGUUCUUAUAUACACUUUAACAUUAUUAUUAUAGUUAAAGUGAUAUCUGUUCAACUGUUUGUAGGUCUGUUUCUAUUCACUACUUCUUAAAACUAUAGAUCACAUUUUCCUUUCUUUCCAUUUACAUACCACACACACAUACACAACAAUAUGAAUGAUAUAUUGCAGAGUCUUUGGGUUGCAUUAUCUGCCAUUAUGAGAGGAUAAUUAAAUUUCAGAUGGACCACCUUAAACUUGUAGAAACUUGGUUUCAUGCUUUGCUAGGGUGGGGCACUUUGUUUUUGCCCUUUGUUCAUUAAUCUUGAGAGGUAGUUAUUUAUUCCCAAGGAACAGAUCCUCUGGGGACAGGAAAAGCCUGGGGUGUUUCCAAGGCCUUGCCACUAUGUAAGACUUGAAAUACAGUCUCUUGUUUCUCCUGCACUAGAUAGUAGCUGGAAUAACUGCUCAGCUCUUUCAACCUUCCAUCUGUAGGCUCUCACUAGAAUAAAGUCAGAGUCAGGGUCAAGCCAGGGAUCUGACAGGAAAAUAUUCCCUCGUCCCACAUGUGAUUCCACCUGUUCCUGACGUUCUCCCCUUGAUUUCUGCCAUGAUGGCAGUCCUCCUCCAGUCUCCCUCAACUCUGAUCCUAACUCAUGCCGGCUCGUGUGAUUAAAAAACAAAACAAAACAACAUAAUAGAAGGAAAAUAUAAAGUGAUUGCACAAAAGUGGCACCAUAUGCUCAAGUUUAUUGAACAGACACCAGUUACACAUUGGAAACUAGUAAGCAGAACACUGUACCAGUUUUCACUAACUCAAAUCAAGUUAGCAAAUGACAAAUUUUAGAACACACUCAUCUUAUGUCUCACCCAAUGUGGGUGAUCACAAGAGAACUACAUAAAGAAAGUUACUUUCUAUGUUAUUUAGAUAGCAAAUUAAUUGAUAUACACAGCUUCGAAGUGUCUUUAAGAUAUUGCAAAGUGUUUCAAAACUAGUAGGGAACUGUUCAUGUCCAGCCUGAAAUAAAGUGUAGAAUGGACCUUUGGAGGGUAAAUAAUUUCACUUGUACAUCUAUUGCAGAAUCACUCCUUCCUGCUAACAAAAAUACUAAUAAAUUUCCAUUUAGAUUAGGUUUACUAAAUUAAUAAUGACUGAAAUAUCUAGGUUUGGUUACAUUGUUAUAUUGCACUUGAGAAGAAUAACAACAAAAAUCAAAGACUCAGUACCUCUUCCAAGAACUUCACUAUGUAUCAGAAGCUACAAUGAAAUAGAAACAUAUAUGCAUGCUACAUGUUCAUAGGUUUACCGUUCAAACUAUCCUACCAUACCAAAAAGUUUAAAGGGAUACUCUCCAAAACACUGAGUAUUAAGUCAUUUCAUUUACCAUUUUGGAUCCUGUAUUGAAUUUUCAAAUUUUAUAUUGUUUUCUUAUUAAUCAAGCUAUCACAUAUACAAGCUAUCCAAGAUCACAAGCACAGUGACACUGAGAUAGGCAACAGUCAUACAGAAGUAUUCCAAGAAUGACUUAUUCUUUGCCAAGCUCAACAAGACAUUUUGUAACACAGGAACAUCUAUGAACUUACAGGUUUUAGCCUUAUUAAAAAAAAAAAAAAA